Molecule: ribosomal RNA, 888 nt
Filed under: Phaeocystis globosa
Lineage: Eukaryota; Haptophyta; Phaeocystales; Phaeocystaceae
Description: eukaryotic LSU rRNA
Rfam family: 5.8S ribosomal RNA (bases 309-463)
Source: RNAcentral
UCCGUAGGUGACCUGCGGAAGGAUCAUUACCGGUAUCAUUCCGAACCCCGUGCGAACGGGCUCCUGCUUCGAGUAGGGGCCGUUGGUCGUCCUUGGAGACGGCCUCUGCGUGCCGCCUCCCGCGCCUGGCGUGGGUUGGUGGCGCGUGGGCAUGCGGCCGCGCGUGGGGAUUCUGAAUUGCCGCGAGCGCGCCGUUCGGGAGCGUGCCGAUGCCUAUAUGGCAUUGGCGUGUUUCACCCCACCCCACCGCGCGCGCGCGUCUAUUUGUAUGGAUGGGCUCGCGCGCGCCCGACCACAAACCUAACCACAACUCCUGUCGAAGGAUAUCUUGGCUCCCGCAACGAUGAAGAACGCAGCGAAAUGCGAUACGUAAUGUGAAUUGCAGAAUUCAGUGAAUCAUCGAGACUUUGAACGCACAUGGCAUUUCCAAGUUUCGCUUGGAAGUAUGUUCCUUCGAGUGGAGUUCCCACCCCACCUCGGUGGCGCCCCCGCCUUGGGGGCGCGGCCGGAGGCGGCCUCUGGCGCGGAUUCGGUUGCGCGUCACUGGCUGAAGCUGGGGAGUGCGGGGCGUGCGCUCCGGGCGCCGGCUCGGCUUCGUCCGGGUUGGUGUUCGGGGGGUGUUGCCUCCAGAUGGGCCCGAGCGGUUUCCAUCGGCGUGCUAGUGGCGUCUCCUUGUGAGCGCCGACGGUCGCUGAUGUGCCGCUCGAGAUCGCGCCGGUCUGGAUUCACAGGCGAUGCCUCUUUUGCGAGCGCGUGUCCGCCUCCCAGCCGCGCGCACACCGCGCGGCGGCGAGGGCGCCUUUUCUAUGGUGCGCCCUGCGUCUGAACCUCCUCCAUCGAAUGGAGCAAGACUACCCGCUGAACUUAAGCAUAUCAAUAAGCGGAGGA